This 379-nucleotide RNase P RNA is filed under the name Pasteurellaceae bacterium RH1A. RNAcentral's name for it is "Bacterial RNase P class A". It matches the Rfam family "Bacterial RNase P class A". From Rfam's summary of the family: Ribonuclease P (RNase P) is a ubiquitous endoribonuclease, found in archaea, bacteria and eukarya as well as chloroplasts and mitochondria. Its best characterised activity is the generation of mature 5'-ends of tRNAs by cleaving the 5'-leader elements of precursor-tRNAs. The record is from Rfam by way of RNAcentral. Lineage: Bacteria; Pseudomonadati; Pseudomonadota; Gammaproteobacteria; Pasteurellales; Pasteurellaceae.
UGAGUUGGUUAGACAAUCGCUGGUUUAUUGAAGCCCUUAACCGCCUUCGGGCGACCUAGUGGGACAAGUAAACGAGAGGAAAGUCCGAGCUACAUAGGGCAGAGUGCCAGAUAACGUCUGGGAGGCGUGAGCCUACGACCAGUGCAACAGAGAGCAGACCGCCAGCUUCGGCUGGUAAGGGUGAAAGGGUGCGGUAAGAGCGCACCGUGCGGCUGGUAACAGUUCGCAGCAGGGUAAACUCCACUCGUAGCAAGACCAAAUAGGAACUCAAUGGGUGGCCCGCCCAGAGUUCGGGUAGGUUGCUUGAACAGCAUAGCGAUGUGUUGUCUAGAUGAAUGAUUGUCCACGACAGAACUCGGCUUAUCGACCAACUCACCUC